AGACGGAGGGUCCAAGCGUUAUCCGGAAUCAUUGGGUUUAAAGGGUCCGCAGGCGGUCAAUUAAGUCAGAGGUGAAAGCCCAUCGCUCAACGAUGGAACUGCCUUUGAUACUGGUUGACUUGAGUUAUACGGAAGUAGAUAGAAUAAGUAGUGUAGCGGUGAAAUGCAUAGAUAUUACUUAGAAUACCGAUUGCGAAGGCAGUCUACUACGUAUAUACUGACGCUGAGGGACGAAAGCGUGGGGAGCAAACAGGAUUAGAUACCCCAGUAGUCC
RNAcentral lists this ribosomal RNA (274 nucleotides) under uncultured bacterium. Its description in RNAcentral is "partial 16S ribosomal RNA". It matches the Rfam family "Bacterial small subunit ribosomal RNA", at positions 523 to 796 of the family's 1533-position model. The record is from RNAcentral.